AAAUAGCCCCGAUUGAAGUGGAAAUCCUUUUAUUUUUUCUUUAAAAAAUAAAAGAUUGAAGCGAAAAGCGGGAAUUUAU
This 79-nucleotide small RNA is filed under the name Flavobacterium sp. 81. RNAcentral describes it as "Flavo-1 RNA". It matches the Rfam family "Flavo-1 RNA". RNAcentral also lists the same sequence under 1 other name. The record is from RNAcentral. Lineage: Bacteria; Pseudomonadati; Bacteroidota; Flavobacteriia; Flavobacteriales; Flavobacteriaceae.